Molecule: ribosomal RNA, 462 nt
Filed under: Escherichia coli
Lineage: Bacteria; Pseudomonadati; Pseudomonadota; Gammaproteobacteria; Enterobacterales; Enterobacteriaceae
Description: bacterial SSU rRNA
Rfam family: Bacterial small subunit ribosomal RNA
Source: RNAcentral
UUAAAUUGAAGAGUUUGAUCAUGGCUCAGAUUGAACGCUGGCGGCAGGCCUAACACAUGCAAGUCGAACGGUAACAGAAAGCAGCUUGCUGCUUUGCUGACGAGUGGCGGACGGGGGAGUAAUGUCUGGGAAACUGCCUGAUGGAGGGGGAUAACUACUGGAAACGGUAGCUAAUACCGCAUAACGUCGCAAGACCAAAGAGGGGGACCUUCGGGCCUCUUGCCAUCGGAUGUGCCCAGAUGGGAUUAGCUUGUUGGUGGGGUAACGGCUCACCAAGGCGACGAUCCCUAGCUGGUCUGAGAGGAUGACCAGCCACACUGGAACUGAGACACGGUCCAGACUCCUACGGGAGGCAGCAGUGGGGAAUAUUGCACAAUGGGCGCAAGCCUGAUGCAGCCAUGCCGCGUGUAUGAAGAAGGCCUUCGGGUUGUAAAGUACUUUCAGCGGGGAGGAAGGGAGUAA